GUUAACCCAAUUUAUUUUUAGGUAUAAAAUCACUCGUCGUGUAGGUUAAGGCGGCGGCUUUUCAGUUAGAUUAGGGCAUCGCCGCAACGAUCUAUGAUAAUCGUGUGUGUAUGUAUCUAUUUGAGUGUAAAGUGCUGAAUCGUUUCGUGAUGCUAUCUGUUUCGAAGUCCAAAAACAGUAAACAAUGAAGAAGAUGCUCCAGAAAAACAAAACAAUGAUCUGCCUGAUUGGGUUGGCAAGGGAAAACAGUAGUUCUACCAAACCCGCCUCAAAGUGGACAACGAGAAAUGCCAACAUUUUCGUUGCGGAAUUCCCACUUUGCUUGAUAUUUUGGUCAUGCAGCUGAUAUGAGGCAAAUGAACCCAAAGGCUGGCAACCCAUUUAAUGAAAUUGCACCAAUUAAAUGGGAGAUAAUUUGUGACCACUGCGAGGGAUUCCUUGUGACUCGGCCAACUGUGUGCGAGAGAACAUCAGAAGAGCACACAAUUGCUGAAGUUAUUUGGAAUGGUGCAUGCUGGAGAUUCUAACUUGUUGGCAUGUCUGACAUUGGACAUUGCAUUGGGUGUCGGCCUUCCUAGAGGAAAUAUUGUUGAGGUAGGUUUUCGUACACACUUUGAGGUAUUGUAAAACAAACUCAGUACAAUCUUUUUUCACGUGAAGAUUAUCUCUUGUUUAAUAUCCGGGAUACGUAUGGCUCAGAGAUGGUGAAGUAAACAAUGAAGAUGAUGCUCCAAAAAGAUGGAAAACAGUUAUCUAAGGCUGGCUAAUCUGCUACUUAUCUGCUAUUAAGAAGCUACUGCUUGUCUACUUGGUUAUUUCGUUGAAGAUAAAACAACGCGACAUAUCGGGAACUUUUGAAAUUGCAAGAACUAAGUUAAAAGCUGGCAACGUAGAUGAUUUUUUCCAAGUAGUUUAACCUACCAAUGUAUUCCUUACCAUAUUGUCUUAUUCUUAUUUCUAUGUAACAUCAAUGCUCAAAAGACUUAAAAUCUAAGUUACUCAAGUAGUUUUUAUAUUUGUCUGUUUAUUUAUUUACCUAUAUAAUGUAUAUAAUACGUUUGUGUGA
Molecule: long non-coding RNA, 1066 nt
Organism: Daucus carota subsp. sativus
Lineage: Eukaryota; Viridiplantae; Streptophyta; Magnoliopsida; Apiales; Apiaceae
Exons: 7
Source: RefSeq, a predicted model, not a curated record